This is a long non-coding RNA of Zalophus californianus (California sea lion), 1238 nucleotides long. RefSeq lists it as uncharacterized. The record is from RefSeq and is a predicted model, not a curated record. The transcript is spliced from 3 exons. Lineage: Eukaryota; Metazoa; Chordata; Mammalia; Carnivora; Otariidae.
CCGCCUCCCGGACAGGCCUGGCGCGGGAGCGCACCCGCGAGCCCCGGGAGAGCCUGGCCGCCUCUCGCGGUGGCCGCCCGAACCUGCGGAGCCGGCCGUCCCGACGACGCGACCCGGGCGCCCAGAUCCUGUUUUAGGUGCUGGGGGUAGAGCAGUAACUGAGACAGAAAUAGGCCCAGUCUUCAUUUGGGGAGACACACAAUAAGCAGAUUAUUGGCUAUGCCAUUUCACACCCCCUGGGACGGCUAUAAUCAAAAACACAGAAAACACGUGUUGACAAGGAUGUGGAGACAUUGGAAUCCUCACACAUCGCUGCUGGGACCAUAAAAUGGUUCAGCCACUGUGGAAUAUAGUGUAGCGGGCCCUCAGAAAGUUAAACAUAGAGUUACCGAAUGACCCAGCAAUUCCACUCCUUGGCAUAUUAAAAAGAAGUACUUAAACAAGUACAUGUAUAUGCUUGUUUAUAGCAGCACUUUUCACAGAGGCAAAAGGUGGGAACAGUGCGCAUAAACAGAAGAAUGGAUAAACAAAUUGUGUUCAUACACAAGAUGAAUAUAAUUCCGCUGCAGAAAGGACUGAAGGAGUGACAUAUAUUACCAUGUAAUGAACCUCAAAAAUAUGUUAAAUGAAAGAAGCUACUUAUAUGAAAUAUCCAGAAGAGGUGGCUCUAUAGAGACAGAAUGCAGACUGGUAGUUACCAAGGCCGGUGGGGGGAGGUGGGGGUGAUGAGAUAGGAGAAAGUGCUUAAUGGGUACAGGAUACAUCACCUUUUGGGGGUGAUGAGAUGGUUUGGAACUAGGUAAAGGUAUUGGUUGCACAACAUUGUGAAUCCACUAAAUGCCACUGAAUUGUUCACUUUAAGAUGGUUUAAUUUUAUGUUAUACAACUUUCACCUCAAUGGUAAAAAGACAAGAUUGGCUAGCACCCCACAGAUGAGCUGAAGAAACUAGGACCUCAUUAUCCUCUCAAAUGUCUGUGCCUCUGUAACUCCAAACAGCAGCUCUACACCAGUCUUUGUACAAUUCCUAGGUUGUCUCACAUCAACUUGAAGAAAACCUAUCUUGGACAAAAGUGAAAGAUCUGGGCAGCGAUUGUUAAUGGAUACAAAGUUACUUUUUGGUUGAUGAAAAUGUUUUCAAUUUAUACUGUGAUGGUUGCACAACCCUGUGAUUAUACUAAAACCCACUGAAUUGGGUGAAUUUUAUGGUAAAUAAAUUACAUCUCAAUAAAGCUAUUCU